AGCUGAAGGUCGAGAGGAUAAAAAUGACACCACAUAGAGGAGUUUCCAUUUUAUCCCAGUGGCAAAAAUUUCAUUGCUCCCUGUAUUUGUCCCAUGACUCUCUCAUUCUAAGAACAGUCUUAGAGGGACUCUUCAACCUACAAAGCACCCUGCUAGAUACUCUCAUUGUCCCACUGUGCUCUUGUUCUGCUUGCCUGAUUAAAGCACUUGAUCAAUUCAUCA
Molecule: long non-coding RNA, 222 nt
Filed under: Mustela putorius furo (domestic ferret)
Lineage: Eukaryota; Metazoa; Chordata; Mammalia; Carnivora; Mustelidae
Description: lncRNA (ENSMPUG00000030144.1)
Source: RNAcentral